AACGUAGGUGGCGAGCGUUAUCCGGAAUUACUGGGCGUAAAGCGUGUGCAGGCGGGCAAGCAAGAGGGGUAUGAAAGCUCCCGGCUCAACCGGGAAGGGUUAUGCCAGACUGCUAGUCUUGAGUGCGAGAGAGGAGCGUGGAAUUCCGGGUGUAGUGGUGAAAUGCGUAGAUAUUGGGAGGAACACCAGUGGCGAAGGCGGCUCGCUGGACCGGAACUGACGCUGAGGCGCGAAAGCGUGGGGAGCAAACAGG
This 253-nucleotide ribosomal RNA is filed under the name uncultured bacterium. RNAcentral describes it as "partial 16S ribosomal RNA". It matches the Rfam family "Bacterial small subunit ribosomal RNA", at positions 524 to 776 of the family's 1533-position model. The record is from RNAcentral.